This 492-nucleotide ribosomal RNA is filed under the name uncultured bacterium. Its description in RNAcentral is "partial 16S ribosomal RNA". It matches the Rfam family "Bacterial small subunit ribosomal RNA", at positions 29 to 507 of the family's 1533-position model. The record is from RNAcentral.
AGUGAACGCUGGCGGUAGGCCUAACACAUGCAAGUCGAACGGCGGCACAGUAAGAGCUUGCUCUUACGGGUGGCGAGUGGCGGACGGGUGAGGAAUACAUCGGAAUCUACUUUUUCGUGGGGGAUAACGUAGGGAAACUUACGCUAAUACCGCAUACGACCUACGGGUGAAAGCAGGGGAUCUUCGGACCUUGCGCGAUUGAAUGAGCCGAUGUCGGAUUAGCUAGUUGGCGGGGUAAAGGCCCACCAAGGCGACGAUCCGUAGCUGGUCUGAGAGGAUGAUCAGCCACACUGGAACUGAGACACGGUCCAGACUCCUACGGGAGGCAGCAGUGGGGAAUAUUGGACAAUGGGCGCAAGCCUGAUCCAGCCAUACCGCGUGGGUGAAGAAGGCCUUCGGGUUGUAAAGCCCUUUUGUUGGGAAGGAAAAGCAGCAGGUUAAUACCCCGCUGUUCUGACGGUACCCAAAGAAUAAGCACCGGCUAACUUCGUG